GACGAACGCUGGCGGCGUGCCUAACACAUGCAAGUUGAGCGACGAACCAGGGCUUGCCCUGGGGCAAAGCAGCGAACGGGUGAGUAACACGUGGGUAACCUACCCCGAUAACCGGGACAACCCGAGGAAACUCGGGCUAAUACCGGAUGUGCUCACUGGACUUCGGUUCAGUGCGUAAAGGAAGCUUCGGCCUCCGUAUCGGGAGGGGCCCGCGGCCCAUUAGUUUGUUGGUGAGGUAACGGCUCACCAAGACCGCGAUGGGUAGCUGGUCUGGGAGGAGGAUCAGCCACCUGGGGACUGAGACACGGCCCAGACCCGUAGGGAAGGCAGCAGUGGGAAAUGUGGCGCAAGGGGCGAAGGCGUGACGCAGCAACGCCGCGUGGGGGAAGAAGGCCUUCGGGUGGUAAACCCCUUUCAGGGGGGACGAAGGUUGGGCGGUGAAUAGCCGUCCGGACUGACGGUACCUCCACAAGAAGCCCCGGCCAACUACGG
Molecule: ribosomal RNA, 492 nt
Filed under: uncultured bacterium
Lineage: Bacteria
Description: partial 16S ribosomal RNA
Rfam family: Bacterial small subunit ribosomal RNA
Source: RNAcentral